RNAcentral lists this ribosomal RNA (379 nucleotides) under uncultured eukaryote. RNAcentral describes it as "partial 18S ribosomal RNA". It matches the Rfam family "Eukaryotic small subunit ribosomal RNA", at positions 592 to 976 of the family's 1831-position model. The record is from RNAcentral.
CAAUAGCGUAUAUUAAAGUUGUUGCAGUUAAAAAGCUCGUAGUCGAACUUCGGGCCUGGCCGGGCGGUCUGCCUAACGGUAUGUACUGUCUGGCCGGGCCUUACCUCUUGGUGAGCCGGCAUGCCCUUCAUUGGGUGUGUCGGUGAACCAGGACUUUUACCUUGAGAAAAUUAGAGUGUUCAAAGCAGGCCUAUGCUCGAAUACAUUAGCAUGGAAUAAUAAAAUAGGACGUGUGGUUCUAUUUUGUUGGUUUCUAGAGUCACCGUAAUGAUUAAUAGGGAUAGUUGGGGGCAUUAGUAUUCAGUUGCUAGAGGUGAAAUUCUUGGAUUUACUGAAGACUAACUUCUGCGAAAGCAUUUGCCAAGGAUGUUUUCAUUGA